UUAAAUUGAAGAGUUUGAUCAUGGCUCAGAUUGAACGCUGGCGGCAGGCCUAACACAUGCAAGUCGAACGGUAACAGGAAGCAGCUUGCUGCUUUGCUGACGAGUGGCGGACGGGUGAGUAAUGUCUGGGAAACUGCCUGAUGGAGGGGGAUAACUACUGGAAACGGUAGCUAAUACCGCAUAACGUCGCAAGACCAAAGAGGGGGACCUUCGGGCCUCUUGCCAUCGGAUGUGCCCAGAUGGGAUUAGCUAGUAGGUGGGGUAACGGCUCACCUAGGCGACGAUCCCUAGCUGGUCUGAGAGGAUGACCAGCCACACUGGAACUGAGACACGGUCCAGACUCCUACGGGAGGCAGCAGUGGGGAAUAUUGCACAAUGGGCGCAAGCCUGAUGCAGCCAUGCCGCGUGUAUGAAGAAGGCCUUCGGGUUGUAAAGUACUUUCAGCGGGGAGGAAGGGAGUAAAGUUAAUACCUUUGCUCAUUGACGUUACCCGCAGAAGAAGCACCGGCUAACUCCGUGCCAGCAGCCGCGGUAAUACGGAGGGUGCAAGCGUUAAUCGGAAUUACUGGGCGUAAAGCGCACGCAGGCGGUUUGUUAAGUCAGAUGUGAAAUCCCCGGGCUCAACCUGGGAACUGCAUCUGAUACUGGCAAGCUUGAGUCUCGUAGAGGGGG
Molecule: ribosomal RNA, 672 nt
Filed under: Escherichia coli
Lineage: Bacteria; Pseudomonadati; Pseudomonadota; Gammaproteobacteria; Enterobacterales; Enterobacteriaceae
Description: bacterial SSU rRNA
Rfam family: Bacterial small subunit ribosomal RNA
Source: RNAcentral